GCUGGGAUAGCUAAAGUUGGUAGAGUAUGCGACUCUUAAUCUCAAGGUUGUGGGUUCGAGGCCCACGCAGGGCA
This is a non-coding RNA of Podarcis lilfordi (Lilford's wall lizard), 74 nucleotides long. The record is from the annotation of a GenBank genome assembly. NCBI's taxonomy places the organism in Eukaryota, Metazoa, Chordata, Lepidosauria, Squamata, Lacertidae.